GACCCUUUUUAAUGGAUGCUUUGUCUGAGUUUCUGUUUGUGUAUCAGUUGUGUGUCUGGUGUCUUACGAGGCCAGAAGUGAGCAUCAGAUCCCCUGGAACUGGAAUAAUAGGCAGUUGUCAGUGCUAGGAAUUGAAUCCAUGUCUCCUGGAGGAGCAGCCACUGAGCUGCUCUUAACCACUGAGCUGCCUCUUCAGCCCUGACCACUGGCCUUUCUAAGAAAGCCUUUAUAAAAGUCACGGCAUUACCAGCUGUUUGUCCCGUGAAGACAGGUUUACUUGGCAAGUUGAGUGGUGCUGGACAUAAAGAGAUGCUGACACAGUUGGACAGUGCACAGAAAGCUUCCCUAGCUCCGAGGGUAUGGAGUGAGGAAAUGGGGAGUCUCUGGAUGCUCGAACCUGAAGGUUUCUAGUCAACUUCAAAAAUAAACAUGUCAGCACUC
This 441-nucleotide long non-coding RNA is filed under the name Mus musculus (house mouse). Its description in RNAcentral is "long non-coding RNA chr18:31908543-31908984". Lineage: Eukaryota; Metazoa; Chordata; Mammalia; Rodentia; Muridae. The record is from RNAcentral.